AGCAGCCGCGGUAAUUCCAGCUCCAAUAGCGUAUAUUAAAGUUGUUGCAGUUAAAAAGCUCGUAGUUGAAUUUCGGGAUCAGUUGGUCGGUCGUGCCUCGGUACGUACUGGUCAAAUUGAUUCCUACCUUCUGACGAACCACGAUGUCAUUAAUUUGGUGUCGCGGGAAAUCAGGACUGUUACUUUGAAAAAUUGAGUGUUUAAAGCAGGCUCGCGCUUGAAUACAUUAGCAUGGAAUAAUGAAAUAGGACGUUUGAUUCUAUUUUGUUGGUUUCUAGGAUCGACGUAAUGAUUAAUAGGGAUAGUUGGGGGCAUUAGUAUUCAAUUGUCAGAGGUGAAAUUCUUGGAUUUAUUGAAGACUAACUACUGCGAAAGCAUUUGCCAAGGAUGUUUUCAUUAAUCAAGAACGAAAGUUAGGGGAUCGAAGACGAUCAGAUACCGUCGUAGUCUUAACCAUAAACUAUGCCGACUAGGGAUCGGAUGAUGUUAAUUUUUAAUGACUCAUUCGGCGCCUUAAC
RNAcentral lists this unclassified non-coding RNA (518 nucleotides) under uncultured Glomus. Its description in RNAcentral is "SSU rRNA". It matches the Rfam family "Eukaryotic small subunit ribosomal RNA", at positions 569 to 1092 of the family's 1831-position model. Lineage: Eukaryota; Fungi; Glomeromycota; Glomeromycetes; Glomerales; Glomeraceae. The record is from RNAcentral.